Long non-coding RNA from Culex quinquefasciatus (southern house mosquito), 1890 nucleotides. RefSeq lists it as uncharacterized. Lineage: Eukaryota; Metazoa; Arthropoda; Insecta; Diptera; Culicidae. The transcript is spliced from 6 exons. The record is from RefSeq and is a predicted model, not a curated record.
UUUUGAUCCGACGGCAAUCGGGAGAAAGCGGAUCAGGUCUCCGAUUCUCGCCGGAUGCUAGCGGUGAAUGCAGCCGGAAGUUCCGAUCGAUGUGCAUUCGUGUAGUUGUUGGAGUGUUUGGGUCAAGAAUCGGGGGAACCAGAUUCCGGAUUGUGUUACGACGGUCAGCAACACUAUCUGUGGCAGCAGUUCCGGUACGAUUAAAAUGAGUGGAGCGAUAAGGCGGUGGCAGUCAACGUUCGGCGGAGUGGGUUCUUCUCCCGGACCCAAUUUCACCUCGAAUUUUGAUCGAGCUGUGGAGGAGGCAUUAUAAUCGUUCCCAGAAACGUAUCAGUCUGCAUUAAAUAAGAAGCUCGUUCCUGAUUUACAUGUGCAGAAAAUAACCAACCUCAAUCGAUGGGUUGACGGCACCCAAGAAAAAAACAACAAUACGGGACAAAAACAUCUGAAGAAGAUCAUGCGUAUCAAUUGUUGUCGGACCCGUUCAACGAGCCAAUGCUGGCCACUUGUGGCUGCGACCGCACGAUAAAGCUGUGGCAGUCAUAUUCGCGCAUUUGCUACCGGACACUUCAGCUCACCGAUUCCGUAGUAAUCACGUCGGUCAUCAUUCCGAACGGGACGAUUCUGGCCACCGGCGGGUACUAGUACAUCCGGCUGUACGACACAAACUUAAGAUAUCCGCUGGUUAACUGAAGUGCGUAAUGAAGAACGUGACCCUGACCGGAUUCCAGGGUGAUGGCAAAUGGAUCGAGGGCCUCGUGGCGCGGUGGUUAGCGGCUUCGGCUGCCGAUCCCUAAGUUGCUAUGGGGCGCGGGUUCGAUUCCCGCCUAAUCCUAUGGAUUGCUUUGCUUUUGCUUUUUUGGCAAGUGGAUAUUCGGCCUGCAAGUGGAUGCCUAGUACCAGUCAACGCGGGUCAAAUUGGACGAGCACGAGCAGCUGUUUCCGCAGGUGGAGGCUUCCAACCAAGACACUGGUUGAAACGGAGCCUUUUAGCAAUGGUCAACUAUAAAGUAAAUUGUUGUGCUUGGAGCCUUUGGAACAGCUGAAACAGCGAAACUCAGCUCAAGCGAACGGAUCCUAAUGUUACGCGUUAGGAUGUGAAUUCAGUCUCGUUUCAAGCCUGCUGGUGGCCUGUUCCAUCGACAGAACAGCGAAGAUCUAAGUCACUAAAUGCCCUUUAGGUGCAAGACCAACAAUAAAAGACAAUAUUAGCAAAGCCAUAAAGGUCAACGUGUAAGCAAAUAUGGCACGUGUACUGGCGCAGAUGUUCUUCAACAAGGUACUAGUCGUAUUCAGCUUCAAAGGUUAAUCAGACGAGCGACCUUCCGAAUAAGAACCUACGACGAUAUUCACCUCGCAUCGUUGUCAACAAUUACCAUAGCGUUGAGAAACAGACGUGACGCUAGAUCAGGGCGAGACGUCAUCAAGCAGACCAUGGACUGGAUGGAUUCAGCCUCGGAUACUAGCAUCAAUAACAAUGUUCGGUGUGUUCCGAAAUGGCGUCCACUUCCUGAACCGGACGACGCCCAUGAAGCCGAUUCUUGAGUUGCGAGUGCUCAGUCUACUGACGAUCAGUUCGUGCUACAUUUCCGACAAAACGCUGCGCGGUUCGAAGCUGUGCAGUUUGGCAUGGGUAUUGCACCGGCUGUAAUUUCCAUUUAAAUGUUUAAAGCACUGGUGUAAACUUGUGAACUCAUUAACUUUGAAUAAAAUUGAAACUGGAAAUGGGUAUCACGACAUUUAAUUCCCAUAAGAAUCAAGAGGUCCCCAUGUUCGGAUUUGACUCGCUACAACAGAUUUUAGUGUAUGUUCAAACAUAUGAUUACUUACCAGACUACGAAACGUUAAAUGAAUACCUAAUAAAUGAUGUUUAAGUGCUUAUUACUAUUG